AGAGUUUGAUCCUGGCUCAGAACGAACGCUGGCGGCAUGCCUAACACAUGCAAGUCGAACGAAGGCUUCGGCCUUAGUGGCGCACGGGUGAGUAACGCGUGGGAAUCUGCCUAUCAGUGGGGAAUAACCGAGGGAAACUUCGGCUAAUACCGCAUACGCCUCGAGAGAGGGAAAGAUUUAUCGCUGAUGGAUGAGCCCGCGUACGAUUAGCUAGUUGGUGAGGUAAUGGCUCACCAAGGCGACGAUCGUUAGCUGGUCUGAGAGGAUGAUCAGCCACACUGGGACUGAGACACGGCCCAGACUCCUACGGGAGGCAGCAGUGGGGAAUAUUGGACAAUGGGCGCAAGCCUGAUCCAGCAAUGCCGCGUGAGUGAUGAAGGCCUUAGGGUUGUAAAGCUCUUUCGGGUGGGACGAUGAUGACGGUACCACCAGAAGAAGCCCCGGCUAACUUCGUGCCAGCAGCCGCGGUAAUACGAAGGGGGCUAGCGUUGUUCGGAAUUACUGGGCGUAAAGCGCACGCAGGCGGUCCGUUGAAUUAGGAGUGAAAGCCCUGGGCUCAACCCGGGAAUUGCUUUUAAGACUGGCGGACUUGAAUUCGGAAGAGGGUAGUGGAAUUCCAAGUGUAGAGGUGAAAUUCGUAGAUAUUUGGAAGAACACCAGUGGCGAAGGCGACUACCUGGUCCGAUAUUGACGCUCAUGUGCGAAAGCGUGGGGAGCAAACAGGAUUAGAUACCCCCGUAGUCC
RNAcentral lists this ribosomal RNA (744 nucleotides) under uncultured bacterium. RNAcentral describes it as "bacterial SSU rRNA". It matches the Rfam family "Bacterial small subunit ribosomal RNA", at positions 8 to 796 of the family's 1533-position model. The record is from RNAcentral.